AAUAGGAGAAUGAAAAAUCAAUUUUUUCCUCUUAAUUUUCGGUUUUUUUCCCUGAAAAAAAUUCAAUCCAACUAAAAGUACUAAAAAUCAGGAGGAAAAAAUUGAUUUGCCAUUCUCCUAUU
This is a non-coding RNA of Gossypium hirsutum (cotton), 122 nucleotides long. The record is from Rfam. NCBI's taxonomy places the organism in Eukaryota, Viridiplantae, Streptophyta, Magnoliopsida, Malvales, Malvaceae.